Amphiprion ocellaris (clown anemonefish) is the source of this 385-nucleotide long non-coding RNA. The record is from Ensembl. NCBI's taxonomy places the organism in Eukaryota, Metazoa, Chordata, Actinopteri, Pomacentridae.
AGCCAAACCCGAUUCAGUGGUGAAGAGAAGCAGAGGAAAUGUUUGUCUGCAGCUAAAUAAAGCAGGAAGACACUGAGCUGCUCAGGUGUUCCUGAUAACACCAAGCAGCCACCUGGACAGCCAAUAGGAACACAGCUUCCUGGAAGUCCAGAGGGCGGGAACUGUGGUUAUCCAUCUAUUCAUGCCAACUGACAGAAGCAAAAAUCCAGCAUGGGAAAGAGAAGAUGACACACAGGGGCUUUUGUGGACUCACAGAUGGAAUAUACAGAUGGAAAGAUCUGCAUCAUCAGAGACAGCAGCAAAGAGACUGAGAUGUAAGAUCUGGGGAUCUAAGGUCAACAUCAAAUGGAUGCACCGUCUGUACUGAAAGGUACAUAAAGCGACA